AUUGAACGCUGGCGGCAGGCCUAACACAUGCAAGUCGAGCGAGUGGCGGACGGGUGAGUAAUGUAUGGGGACCUGCCCGAUAGCGGGGGAUAACUACUGGAAAGGGUGGCUAAUACCGCAUACUAUCGGAUGAACCCAUAUGGGAUUAGCUAGUGGGUGGGGUAAAGGCUCACCUAGGCCACGAUCCCUAGCGGGUCUGAGAGGAUGAUCAGCCACACUGUGACUGAGACACGGCCCAGACUCCUACGUGAGGCCGCAGUGGUGAAUAGUGCACAAUGGGCGCAUACCUGAUGCAGCCAUGCCGCGUGUAUGAAGAAGGCCUUAGGGUUGUAAAGUACUUUCAGCGGGGAAGCGUUACCCGCAGAAGAAGCACCGGCUAACUCCGUGCCAGCAGCCGCGGUAAUAC
RNAcentral lists this ribosomal RNA (406 nucleotides) under uncultured bacterium. RNAcentral describes it as "partial 16S ribosomal RNA". It matches the Rfam family "Bacterial small subunit ribosomal RNA", at positions 30 to 526 of the family's 1533-position model. The record is from RNAcentral.